GAGAAGAACGCAGCGAAAUGCGAUAAGUAAUGUGAAUUGCAGAAUUCAGUGAAUCAUCGAAUCUUUGAACGCACCUUGCGCCCUUUGGCUAUUCUGAAGGGCAUGCCUGUUUGAGUAUCGUGAACACCUCAACUCUCAUGGUCUGCCAUGAUGAGCUUGGACUUUGGGGGUCUUGCUGGCCUACUGUCAGCUCCUCUCAAAUGAAUCAGCUUACCAGUGUUUGGUGGCACCACAGGUGUGAUAACUAUCUACGCUUGUGGUUUUCUGCCAGGUAACCUCCAGUGAUGGAGGUUCGCUGGAGCUCACAAAUGUCUCUCCUCAGCGAGGACAGCUUUUUGAACGUUUGAUCUCAAAUCAGGUAGGACUACCCGCUGAACUUAAGCAUAUCAAUAAGCGGAGGA
RNAcentral lists this unclassified non-coding RNA (401 nucleotides) under soil metagenome. Its description in RNAcentral is "partial contains 5.8S ribosomal RNA, internal transcribed spacer 2, and large subunit ribosomal RNA". The stretch from base 3 to 120 matches the Rfam family "5.8S ribosomal RNA", at positions 38 to 154 of the family's 154-position model. The record is from RNAcentral.